UGGGGAAUUUUGGACAAUGGGCGAAAGCCUGAUCCAGCAAUGCCGCGUGUGUGAAGAAGGCCUUCGGGUUGUAAAGCACUUUUGUCCGGAAAGAAAUCCUUGGCUCUAAUACAGUCGGGGGAUGACGGUACCGGAAGAAUAAGCACCGGCUAACUACGUGCCAGCAGCCGCGGUAAUACGUAGGGUGCAAGCGUUAAUCGGAAUUACUGGGCGUAAAGCGUGCGCAGGCGGUUUGCUAAGACCGAUGUGAAAUCCCCGGGCUCAACCUGGGAACUGCAUUGGUGACUGGCAGGCUAGAGUAUGGCAGAGGGGGGUAGAAUUCCACGUGUAGCAGUGAAAUGCGUAGAGAUGUGGAGGAAUACCGAUGGCGAAGGCAGCCCCCUGGGCCAAUACUGACGCUCAUGCACGAAAGCGUGGGGAGCAAACAGGAUUAGAUACCCUGGUAGUCCACGCCCUAAACGAUGUCAACUAGUUGUUGGGGAUUCAUUUCCUUAGUAACGUAGCUAACGCGUGAAGUUGACCGCCUGGGGAGUACGGUCGCAAGAUUAAACUUAAUGAAUUGACGGGGUCAUAGCUG
RNAcentral lists this ribosomal RNA (577 nucleotides) under uncultured bacterium. RNAcentral's name for it is "partial 16S ribosomal RNA". It matches the Rfam family "Bacterial small subunit ribosomal RNA", at positions 355 to 932 of the family's 1533-position model. The record is from RNAcentral.